RNAcentral lists this microRNA precursor (59 nucleotides) under Monodelphis domestica (gray short-tailed opossum). RNAcentral describes it as "microRNA mdo-mir-7279 precursor". The record is from miRBase by way of RNAcentral. Lineage: Eukaryota; Metazoa; Chordata; Mammalia; Didelphimorphia; Didelphidae.
UCAGCUGGGCUUUGGUGUUGGAGUCAUUAAUGACAUGUCUCUAACUCUUCCCUCUGCAG